AUGGCCAGCAGGGAACCAGCAGCUGCCAGGACAGCGGUUAAGCUACCGAAGUUCUCCGGGGCAACUCAGCUGGAGCCGUACCUGGCACAGUUCCGGCUCGCUGAGUGGCACAACGGCUGGGGUGCCGGGGAGGCGGUCGUCCACCUCGCCCUGGCGCUGGAGGGGACAGCGGUGCAGGCGCUCCUGGACCCUGCCCCAGCGGACCAACGGGACCUCGGGGCCCUGACCCGGGCCUUGGAGAGGCGUUUCGGGCAGCGGGCCAUCGGCAGCCACAGCCGCGAGCUGCUAAACAGACGCCGCCACCAGGAGGGGGAACGGUUUGGGGCCUACGCAGCGGACUUGCAGCUGUACGCCCAGCGGGGUUACCCAGGCAUCCCUGCUGCGGCAUUGCAACCCUUUAAUACAACAUUCACAGCAGAGGACUGAACGAGAGAAGGCGGGAGCGAUAGAGACGCCGUCCUCACCGCCGGACCAGACCCGGGGACGGACCCUUUUUGCCCCAUAUGAGGAAGAACCUAUAUUUCCUUUUGUUUUACCUUUUUCACGUGAGCUGCACGAAUUAAAACGUUGCCCCGCAACCCUGCUUCAGCUUGUCCUUCUCAAAUCUCAGCCGCCGAUGACCGGGGUUGCCACAACAUUCUCUUAUAUUGCCUGCUUACCUGUCAACAUACACAGACAUUGCGACACAUUUGUUUACAACACUUUCUGUCCGCCAUGCCUCAACGCUACGGAAGAGGAUUAGGGCCACACAUGUAAAAAAAAAUUAAGUUCUGACUUUAUUCUCAGAAUUCUGAGAAAAAAGUCAGAAUUCUGACAUUAAUCUCAGAAUUCUGAGAUAAAAAAUCAGAAUUCUGACUUUAAUCUCAGAAUUCUGACUUUUUUCUCAGAAUUCUGAGAUUAAAGUCAGAAUUCUGACAUUAAUCUCAGAAUUCUGAGAAAAAAGUCAGAAUUCUGACUUUAAAGUCAGAACUACGGGUAUCUGUAAGGACCAACCUCCGUGGGAGAGACACUUUGCUUUAUGCAGUAGGAGGAACCCUAUGGAAAGCCAAGAAGGCCACAAUCCGGCCCUAGAAUGGCGCGGUAAAAGUGCACGUCCCAUAGCCAACUCACCAAGCUCACCAAGUCCAGUAUUCAGAAUUCAAAGCAUUUAUUCACAAAUACGUUCUAUUUUUUUGACAAGCGGAGCCGACAGUCCUGUGCAAGUAUGCAAAUUAGCCAUGUGCGCCAAACAGAAGAUAGACGCAAUGUAUAGAACUGAUUGUUGUGCAUUGUUGUGGAUAUGUAGGCUGGUUAGUUGUGGUUGUUUGUGGUCUUAGUGAAACAGCUUUGCCUUGGAGUUGGAGAAGUUGGAGUGAUUGUGUGAAUGUGCGAGAGAGAGCGCACCUGCCGUGGUGAUGUUGGGCUUGUUGUGGGCUUAUAUGUGAUCAAUGAUGUAUCUGUCUGAUCGUAUUAGCUGUAGAUGGAUGGUUAAAUAAUGUCACAAGAUCGGUCAUACUGCAGGCUCUCAUUUGCAAAUGCACUGAUUGUGUGCCCGUCUCCGAUAUGCUAUAUACCUGGCAUUUAUUCAGUUCAUGUUCUUCUGAGUGCGCAAGAACGGUGCCAAUUAUUGUCGUGCUUGCAUUGUAAUGCACAACUUUGCCCCUCCCUGUUAUAAAAUAACUUGCAUCCCAACAACUUUAGCCAAUGCAGGCUCCUAUUGCUUUACCAGUGUGUUUAACGUGUGUGCGUGUGUGCGUGUGUGUGUGUGUGUGUGUGUGUGUGUGUGUGUGUGUGUGUGUGUGUGUGUGUGUGUGUGUGUGUGUGUGUGUGUGUGUGUGUGUGUGUGUGUGUGUGUGUGUUGUCAUGUAGGCUAUAGAUAUAGAUCGAUUGUCUUGGCUUGCUUGCAUCCAUGAAAUAUUGUAAUGUUAUGGCCUAGCUGGCUACUGCAUAUCGAGAACAAUCUGGGGAUGAGGGCAUCCCCGAUUAUUGACGGGUAUUUCGCACACUGCCAUCUCAAUAUGACUAAUAGCCGCGGCUAUUAGUUCCGUACGGAUUCCGUACGGAAUUCUUGCACUUUUACCGCGCCAUUCUAGGGCCGGAUUGUGGCCUUCUUGGCUUUCCAUAGGUUUCCUCCUACUGCAUAAAGCAAAGUGUCUCUCCCACGGAGGUUGGUCCUUACAGAUA
This is a long non-coding RNA of Gadus morhua (Atlantic cod), 2163 nucleotides long. NCBI's taxonomy places the organism in Eukaryota, Metazoa, Chordata, Actinopteri, Gadiformes, Gadidae. The record is from Ensembl.